RNAcentral lists this ribosomal RNA (721 nucleotides) under uncultured Herbaspirillum sp. Its description in RNAcentral is "bacterial SSU rRNA". It matches the Rfam family "Bacterial small subunit ribosomal RNA", at positions 772 to 1498 of the family's 1533-position model. The record is from RNAcentral. Lineage: Bacteria; Pseudomonadati; Pseudomonadota; Betaproteobacteria; Burkholderiales; Oxalobacteraceae.
ACAGGAUUAGAUACCCUGGUAGUCCACGCCCUAAACGAUGUCUACUAGUUGUCGGGUCUUAAUUGACUUGGUAACGCAGCUAACGCGUGAAGUAGACCGCCUGGGGAGUACGGUCGCAAGAUUAAAACUCAAAGGAAUUGACGGGGACCCGCACAAGCGGUGGAUGAUGUGGAUUAAUUCGAUGCAACGCGAAAAACCUUACCUACCCUUGACAUGGAUGGAAUCCCGAAGAGAUUUGGGAGUGCUCGAAAGAGAACCAUCACACAGGUGCUGCAUGGCUGUCGUCAGCUCGUGUCGUGAGAUGUUGGGUUAAGUCCCGCAACGAGCGCAACCCUUGUCAUUAGUUGCUACGAAAGGGCACUCUAAUGAGACUGCCGGUGACAAACCGGAGGAAGGUGGGGAUGACGUCAAGUCCUCAUGGCCCUUAUGGGUAGGGCUUCACACGUCAUACAAUGGUACAUACAGAGGGCCGCCAACCCGCGAGGGGGAGCUAAUCCCAGAAAGUGUAUCGUAGUCCGGAUUGGAGUCUGCAACUCGACUCCAUGAAGUUGGAAUCGCUAGUAAUCGCGGAUCAGCAUGUCGCGGUGAAUACGUUCCCGGGUCUUGUACACACCGCCCGUCACACCAUGGGAGCGGGUUUUACCAGAAGUGGGUAGCCUAACCGCAAGGAGGGCGCUCACCACGGUAGGAUUCGUGACUGGGGUGAAGUCGUAACAAGGUA